RNAcentral lists this long non-coding RNA (464 nucleotides) under Rhinopithecus bieti (black snub-nosed monkey). RNAcentral's name for it is "lncRNA (ENSRBIG00000046450.1)". The record is from RNAcentral. Lineage: Eukaryota; Metazoa; Chordata; Mammalia; Primates; Cercopithecidae.
GCUGCUCUUCAGCAUAGCAAAUGCACCCGCCUGUUCUGCCUGCUGCUUAGCAGUCAUAGCCUGCCUAGGGUCACUUUCAGAGUCAAGGUGUGUUUGGGGAGGAUGGCUGCACACUCCAAGCUGCAAGAACUAUUAUGACUUCAGAGGCCAGGUUCCACAGGUAGCUGUGACAACAGUCCUGGCAAAAGUGCAAGUCUACUGGGAAUUUCUAGGAAUGUUCGACUUUCCUAAUCAGAAACCACCUUCCCUUCUCACCUCAUCUUCCUACCUGGAAUGCAGUUGCUACUGUGUUUGGGUUUUUCUGUUACCUGCAGCCAAACACAAUCCUGAUAUGACUGGUUUUACAGAAAUUCAGGUAAGGAAGCUGUGAGAAUGUGAUCACCCACUCUGGACAGAGGUGGUGCGAUGAAGUCUUCACAGCUAGAAGUCAGGAAACUUCCCGUCUUGUCUGUAUAACUUCAUGC